Molecule: ribosomal RNA, 237 nt
Filed under: uncultured bacterium
Lineage: Bacteria
Description: partial 16S ribosomal RNA
Rfam family: Bacterial small subunit ribosomal RNA
Source: RNAcentral
GUUGUCCGGAUUUAUUGGGCGUAAAGAGCGUGUAGGCGGCCAGGUAGGUCCGUUGUGAAAACUCGAGGCUCAACCUCGAGACGCCGAUGGAAACCAUCUGGCUAGAGUCCGGAAGAGGAGAGUGGAAUUCCUGGUGUAGCGGUGAAAUGCGCAGAUAUCAGGAAGAACACCCGUGGCUAAGGCGGCUCUCUAGUACGGUACUGACGCUGAGACGCGAAAGCGUGGGGAGCGAACAGG